This 264-nucleotide ribosomal RNA is filed under the name uncultured archaeon. Its description in RNAcentral is "partial 16S ribosomal RNA". It matches the Rfam family "Archaeal small subunit ribosomal RNA", at positions 717 to 982 of the family's 1478-position model. The record is from RNAcentral.
ACACGACUACAUUAGAUACCCGCGUAGUCCCAGCCCUAAACGAUGCGCGUUAGGUGUAUCGGUGACCACGAGUCACCGAGGUGCCGAAGGGAAACCGUGGAACGUGCCGCCUGGGAAGUACGGUCGCAAGGCUGAAACUUAAAGGAAUUGGCGGGGAGCACAACAACGGGUGGAGCUUGCGGUUUAAUUGGAUUCAACGCCGGAAAUCUUACCGGGACCGACAGCAACAUGAAGGCCAAGCUGAAGACUUUGCCGGAUUAGCUG